This 454-nucleotide ribosomal RNA is filed under the name uncultured bacterium. RNAcentral describes it as "partial 16S ribosomal RNA". It matches the Rfam family "Bacterial small subunit ribosomal RNA", at positions 28 to 507 of the family's 1533-position model. The record is from RNAcentral.
GAUGAACGCUGACCGGAUGCUUAACACAUGCAAGUCAACUUGAACUUCGGUUUGGGUGGCGGACGGGUGAGUAACGCGUAAAGAACUUGCCUCACAGUUAGGGACAACAUUUGGAAACGAAUGCUAAUACCUGAUAUUAUGAUUUUAGGGCAUCCUAGAAUUAUGAAAGCUAUAUGCGCUGUGAGAGAGCUUUGCGUCCCAUUAGCUAGUUGGAGAGGUAACGGCUCACCAAGGCGAUGAUGGGUAGCCGGCCUGAGAGGGUGAACGGCCACAAGGGGACUGAGACACGGCCCUUACUCCUACGGGAGGCAGCAGUGGGGAAUAUUGGACAAUGGACCAAGAGUCUGAUCCAGCAAUUCUGUGUGCACGAUGAAGUUUUUCGGAAUGUAAAGUGCUUUCAGUUGGGAAGAAAAAAAUGACGAUACCAACAGAAGAAGUGACGGCUAAAUACGUG